This 468-nucleotide ribosomal RNA is filed under the name uncultured bacterium. RNAcentral's name for it is "partial 16S ribosomal RNA". It matches the Rfam family "Bacterial small subunit ribosomal RNA", at positions 28 to 507 of the family's 1533-position model. The record is from RNAcentral.
GACGAACGCUGGCGGCGUGCUUAACACAUGCAAGUCGAACGGAAAGGCCCUGCUUUUGUGGGGUGCUCGAGUGGCGAACGGGUGAGUAACACGUGAGUAACCUGCCCUUGACUUUGGGAUAACUUCAGGAAACUGGGGCUAAUACCGGAUAGGAGCGCCUGCUGCAUGGUGGGGGUUGGAAAGUUUCGGCGGUUGGGGAUGGACUCGCGGCUUAUCAGUGUGUUGGUGGGGUAGUGGCUUACCAAGGCUUUGGAGGGUAGCGGGCCUGAGAGGGUGACCGGCCACAUUGGGACUGGGGUACGGCCCAGACUCCUACGGGGGGCAGCAGUGGGGAAUAUUGCACAAUGGGCGGAAGCCUGAUGCAGCAACGCCGCGUGCGGGAUGACGGCCUUCGGGUUGUAAACCGCUUUCGCCUGUGACGAAGCGUGAGUGACGGUAAUGGGUAAAGAAGCACCGGCUAACUACGUG